This 69-nucleotide transfer RNA is filed under the name Synodus poeyi (offshore lizardfish). RNAcentral describes it as "tRNA-Trp". It matches the Rfam family "tRNA". From Rfam's summary of the family: Transfer RNA (tRNA) molecules are approximately 80 nucleotides in length. Their secondary structure includes four short double-helical elements and three loops (D, anti-codon, and T loops). The record is from RNAcentral. Lineage: Eukaryota; Metazoa; Chordata; Actinopteri; Aulopiformes; Synodontidae.
AGAGCCUUAGGUUAAAAAGACCAAGGGCCUUCAAAGCCCUAAGUGGGAGUUAGACCCCCCCAAGCUCUG